Molecule: transfer RNA, 72 nt
Filed under: Planctomycetota bacterium
Lineage: Bacteria; Pseudomonadati; Planctomycetota
Description: Planctomycetes bacterium (sediment metagenome) tRNA-Gly
Rfam family: tRNA
About the family: Transfer RNA (tRNA) molecules are approximately 80 nucleotides in length.
Source: RNAcentral
GCGGGCGUAGUUCAAUGGUAGAACUCGAGCUUUCCAAGCUCGAUGUUGGGGGUUCGAUUCCCCUCGCCCGCU